AGUAAGUACAGCCAUAAUCAAAGUAGGCUACUCUCUCAAUAUUUCAAGUGCAAAUAGAGACCAAAUUUUUCAAACAUCAUACAGAGCUAUAGACAACUACACAAUCUAUUAUAGCCUACAUACUAAUAACAGCCUAAAUAUGUAGACUACUUUGCGCACAUCAGGGAGUCGCUCUCAAAACGCGGGUAUUAAAAUCGUUUUUGAAUGCACGUCAAGUCAAGAUUAUUUAUAUAUGGCUACCGCUUUUUACAAUGCAAAUUGUGUCAAAGCAGCUUUACAGUAUUAAACGGGGAAAUAGUGUGUCGAACGAGUGUCGUUCUCCUCUGGCCAAACGCAACCAGCAGUUUAAUUCUAGGCUGCAGCAAAGUCAGAUUGUGCAGAGGACUCAUCUUCCCGUGGUCCUGUCCCGCUGGCCGUCAAGGCGCAACAUGCAUUCUACAAUACAAGACAUUAAUUUUGUCAGAUGCUCUGCAACAAAUCCUCCUUUAAUGUUUCUUAUGGGCCAGUGAGGGUCUUUUUUUUUGGUUCGCACUGAAGUAAAUUUAAAAUAAUAAAAAAAUAGUCUGGCCAAUCCGAGGCCCCUGCACACGUGGACACAAGCUUGUGCGUUUUAAUUCGUGCUUGCUCACUUGGUAGCUUUAAGAUGUGGAAAUUUUUGCAGAAUAGUCUCGCACCCUGCUCAGGUCCUGCUAUUAAGCACAUACAAACAGAAAAACAAUGUCUCAUCACUGAAGUAACGGCGUAAUCAGUGUAGCUCGCAGCCCUCUCUGUUGGUGAAAAUAAUCACUGGUGAUCGGACUUUCUUGCAAUGUAUUUGAGAGCUGUUUAGAACGUGUUGUAAAACGGGGGCAUUUCCGUGGACAGCCAACGUUACAGUGGGGGUCAAGAAGACCCCAAAUAACGGGACUGUCUCCGAAAAUGGUCACACUUACGCAGGUUAAACUAAAAUGGAUAGUAAGCUCAUAUUUGAUGGGAAAAGUAACUAACCGGUAUUUUGGGUGUCUUGUUCAACAAUUUUUUCAUAUAAAAGCAACAGAAUUUAGAUCACAUCCGAUUUAUUAGCCACAAAGCACCGUACCCUUCGACCGCAGCCGCCUGCUCUCGUCUUGCAAAGCUAAAUUCAUAGUAUGCUUCCUAAAUACACAAUUAAAGUGAAAACAGCUACAAUGGCACAAUCAUCGAAUUAACAUUCUCCCCUUUCCCCCUCAAAACUAGCAUAAACACAACUAGCAUUUCCUCAAUAAGUGCAAAGUAACUUGAACAAAAUAAAGUGAAACUUGAGAGAGGGGUGGUCAGUGUAUAUUGUUAUGCGAUUUGUUCUUAUAUGCGAUUCAAAAGAAUGCCAGUAUUGCAAAAGCAAAAUACAUAAAAACAAGAAAACAAAACCCAGUAAAAGAAUGCCAUAAAAGCAAUUUGCACUCGCAGAUGGAAUUAUGUUGAGCUACACAUCAGCUGAGCAUGUCUGAAAGGCUUCAAAACCAUGUCUUUGGACAGUUGCAUAUUUAAUUUAAAAAUUGUUCCAUUGACAUUUCUACAUUCACAAGAUGCUAAAUCUAUAGGUGCUGAGUUCUGCUGUAGUUUGAUCAGCUGAGAGCAGAUCUGCAGAAACAUUUUACUUCUCCCACACAAGUCAAUUUGAUCAAACACUUUGUUACAACCUCA
Sinocyclocheilus grahami is the source of this 1662-nucleotide long non-coding RNA. RefSeq lists it as uncharacterized. The transcript is spliced from 2 exons. Lineage: Eukaryota; Metazoa; Chordata; Actinopteri; Cypriniformes; Cyprinidae. The record is from RefSeq and is a predicted model, not a curated record.